RNAcentral lists this ribosomal RNA (250 nucleotides) under uncultured bacterium. RNAcentral describes it as "partial 16S ribosomal RNA". It matches the Rfam family "Bacterial small subunit ribosomal RNA", at positions 524 to 776 of the family's 1533-position model. The record is from RNAcentral.
UACGUAGGGUGCAAGCGUUGUCCGGAAUUAUUGGGCGUAAAGAGCUCGUAGGCGGUUUGUCGCGUCUGCCGUGAAAGUCCGGGCUCAACUCCGGAUCUGCGGUGGGUACGGGCAGACUAGAGUGAUGUAGGGGAGACUGGAAUUCCUGGUGUAGCGGUGAAAUGCGCAGAUAUCAGGAGGAACACCGAUGGCGAAGGCAGGUCUCUGGCAUUAACUGACGCUGAGGAGCGAAAGCAUGGGAGCGAACAGG